AACAGAUACAUCCGGUAUCAAUAUACUCAUCUGAAGAUUUCAUUGGUGAAUUCCUUAUUCCACCUGAGUCAUUCUUCCGGGCUUUAAGACCCAGUGAUGUCAUUCUGCCUAAAUCAAGAGUAAUAAAUAAUACUGUAGUCCCUUAAGUACAGAAGAGUGGAGCGACCUGCAUUAUAAAACAAGCAUCUAAAUUGAAAAAGGAGCUUCAGCAGGCAGAGGAAUGCACCAGGGGAGGAAGAAGGCAACAAAGGAUGGGCAAAGGAGAGAGAAAGAGAGACAGAGAAAACAGAACAUCCAGCAGCUAAUCGGGGUUUAUUGAUUGCCAGCUUUUAAAUUCUACCCAGUCAUUUUCUCUCUCUGAUGUAAUGCCCAGUAGUUUUGCUCAUGAGCCAAAGCAGUCCUUAACCACAUCCUUUCUGCAGAGAAGCAGGACAGAGUAGCCUGAUUUGCAAGGGAUGCUUUGAGCCAAAGGAAUAUUGCGAGUGAGCAUCUGGGUAGCCCAGGAACGGGUAAGCAUUUAAGCAAAGGUGCGGAAAAGCACCGAGAGUGCAAAAAGGGAGAAAAGACAGGCAACCCAAAGCUAAUGCAGGCAGCUGAAAAGAGAGACAUGAAGAAGUGAGAAAGGAAAGGAACACUGCACUUGCAGCGCUGCGAAGAGAGAGAGAAAGGCAGGAGGAGAACAGACCUGCAUGAUGAGUCACCCAAAUAGUGAGAAGACCGAAGACAAUCCACCUCCGUAUUCUGAAUAUCAGCUUUAUGAAGAACCUGAUCUACUGAAGCCUCCAUCGGGGCCAGCACCCCCUAUGGGUUAUGGGGCAGUGCCUCCUCUGCCGAGUCAGUGUCCACCUUACUACGCUUCACCAGGGGUGGUAGGACCCAGUGAGGGAGCGCUCUUUCAUCCACCGCAGGCCGUCUUCAUCACGCCAGUCCAGCCCACCUAUGUACCCGAUUACCUGGCCUACUCCAUCUUCACCAUGCUUUGUUGCUGCGUUCCUUUGGGCAUUGUGGCCUUUAUUUAUUCUAUGCUGACCCGUGCUGCCGUCGGUGAUGGGGACACCACAGUUGCACGAAGAAACUCUAGGCGAGCAUUGUUUUAUGCCAACUUAGCAGUGUUGUUUGGGGUCAUAGUUUUGAUUGUGUACCUGCUCUUGAAAAUGACUGUGGCUAAAAGGGCAGACUGA
RNAcentral lists this long non-coding RNA (1181 nucleotides) under Anolis carolinensis (green anole). RNAcentral describes it as "lncRNA (ENSACAG00000035184.1)". The record is from RNAcentral. Lineage: Eukaryota; Metazoa; Chordata; Lepidosauria; Squamata; Anolidae.